Molecule: ribosomal RNA, 814 nt
Filed under: uncultured crenarchaeote
Lineage: Archaea; Thermoproteati; Thermoproteota
Description: bacterial SSU rRNA
Rfam family: Archaeal small subunit ribosomal RNA
Source: RNAcentral
CGAGUCAUUGUAGCAAUACAAGGCAUACAGCUCAGUAACGCGUAGUCAACUUAACCUAUGGACGGGAAUAACCUCGGGAAACUGAGAAUAAUGCCCGAUAGAACAUUAUGCCUGGAAUGGUUUAUGUUCCAAAUGAUUUAUCGCCGUAGGAUGGGACUGCGGCCUAUCAGUUUGUUGGUGAGGUAAUGGCCCACCAAGACUAUUACAGGUACGGGCUCUGAGAGGAGUAGCCCGGAGAUGGGUACUGAGACACGGACCCAGGCCCUAUGGGGCGCAGCAGGCGAGAAAACUUUGCAAUGUGCGAAAGCACGACAAGGUUAAUCCGAGUGGUUUCUGCUAAAGAAACCUUUUGUCAGUCCUAGAAACACUGAUGAAUAAGGGGUGGGCAAGUUCUGGUGUCAGCCGCCGCGGUAAAACCAGCACCUCAAGUGGUCAGGAUGAUUAUUGGGCCUAAAGCAUCCGUAGCCGGCUCUGUAAGUUUUCGGUUAAAUCUGUACGCUCAACGUACAGGCUGCCGGGAAUACUGCAGAGCUAGGGAGUGGGAGAGGUAGACGGUACUCGGUAGGAAGGGGUAAAAUCCUUUGAUCUAUUGAUGACCACCUGUGGCGAAGGCGGUCUACCAGAACACGUCCGACGGUGAGGGAUGAAAGCUGGGGGAGCAAACCGGAUUAGAUACCCGGGUAGUCCCAGCUGUAAACUAUGCAAACUCAGUGAUGCAUUGGCUUGUGGCCAAUGCAGUGCUGCAGGGAAGCCGUUAAGUUUGCCGCCUGGGAAGUACGUACGCAAGUAUGAAACUCAAAGGAAUUGACGGAAU